This 292-nucleotide ribosomal RNA is filed under the name uncultured bacterium. RNAcentral's name for it is "partial 16S ribosomal RNA". It matches the Rfam family "Bacterial small subunit ribosomal RNA", at positions 505 to 796 of the family's 1533-position model. The record is from RNAcentral.
GUGUCAGCAGCCGCGGUAAUACGAAGGGAGCGAGCGUUGUUCGGAAUCACUGGGCUUAAAGCGUGCGUAGGUGGAUUGGUAAGUAAGGAGUGAAAUCCCAGGGCUUAACCCUGGAACUGCUCUUUAGACUGCCUGUCUGGAAUUCGGAAGAGGUUGGUGGAACUCCCAGUGUAGAGGUGAAAUUCGCAGAUAUUGGGAAGAACACCGGUGGCGAAGGCGACCAACUGGUCCGACAUUGACACUGAGGCACGAAAGCGUGGGUAGCAAACAGGAUUAGAUACCCUGGUAGUCC